This 202-nucleotide unclassified non-coding RNA is filed under the name Hevea brasiliensis (rubber tree). The record is from RNAcentral. Lineage: Eukaryota; Viridiplantae; Streptophyta; Magnoliopsida; Malpighiales; Euphorbiaceae.
AAUAAUUAAUAAUGUAAAAUAUUUUAUUAAUUUUCUGUUGAUAUAAUUUUUUUUUAAUUUUCUGUUCAGAUAAUUUCCAAAUACAAUGUUUUAAGCAUUUCAUUUUCUUCUAUACCUUUAAUAUAUUAUAAUAUGAAUAUAAAUAAGUUUAAGCAAAUUUAAUGAUUUCAUCAAAUUAUAAUAUGGUUUUAUAUACAGUAUA